AACGAACGCUGGCGGCAUGCCUAACACAUGCAAGUCGAACGAGACCUUCGGGUCUAGUGGCGCACGGGUGCGUAACGCGUGGGAAUCUACCCUUGGGUUCGGAAUAACAGUUAGAAAUGACUGCUAAUACCGGAUGAUGACGUAAGUCCAAAGAUUUAUCGCCCAAGGAUGAGCCCGCGUAAGAUUAGCUUGUUGGUGGGGUAAUGGCCUACCAAGGCGACGAUCUUUAGCUGGUCUGAGAGGAUGAUCAGCCACACUGGGACUGAGACACGGCCCAGUCUCCUACGGGAGGCAGCAGUGGGGAAUAUUGGACAAUGGGCGAAAGCCUUAUCCAGCAAUGCCGCGUGAGUGAUGAAGGCCUUAGGGUUGUAAAGCUCUUUUACCAGGGAUGAUAAUGACAGUACCUGGAGAAUAAGCUCCGGCUAACUCCGUGCCAGCAGCCGCCGUAA
Molecule: ribosomal RNA, 449 nt
Filed under: uncultured bacterium
Lineage: Bacteria
Description: partial 16S ribosomal RNA
Rfam family: Bacterial small subunit ribosomal RNA
Source: RNAcentral